ACGGGAGGCAGCAGUGGGGAAUAUUGGGCAAUGGGCGAAAGCCUGACCCAGCAACGCCGCGUGAAGGAAGAAGGCCUUCGGGUUGUAAACUUCUUUUAGCAGGGACGAAGGACGUGACGGUACCUGCAGAAAAAGCAACGGCUAACUACGUGCCAGCAGCCGCGGUAAUACGUAGGUUGCAAGCGUUGUCCGGAUUUACUGGGUGUAAAGGGUGUGUAGGCGGAACUGCAAGUCAGAUAUGAAAUACCGGGGCUCAACCCCGGGGCUGCAUUUGAAACUGCAGUCCUUGAGUAUCGGAGAGGCAAGCGGAAUUCCUAGUGUAGCGGUGAAAUGCGUAGAUAUUAGGAGGAACACCAGUGGCGAAGGCGGCUUGCUGGACGACAACUGACGCUGAGGCGCGAAAGCGUGGGGAGCAAACAGGAUUAGAUACCCUGGUA
RNAcentral lists this ribosomal RNA (437 nucleotides) under uncultured Clostridium sp. RNAcentral describes it as "partial 16S ribosomal RNA". It matches the Rfam family "Bacterial small subunit ribosomal RNA", at positions 341 to 792 of the family's 1533-position model. Lineage: Bacteria; Bacillati; Bacillota; Clostridia; Eubacteriales; Clostridiaceae. The record is from RNAcentral.